AUCGGAACAUGUCCUGUAGUGGGGGAUAGCCCGGCGAAAGCCGGAUUAAUACCGCAUACGAUCUUUGGAUGAAAGCGGGGGACCUUCGGGCCUCGCGCUAUAGGGUUGGCCGAUGGCUGAUUAGCUAGUUGGUGGGGGGAAAGCCUAUCAAGGGCGAUCUGUAGUGUGUGUGAGGCGACCAGCCAACUGGACUGUGCACGGGGCCACUCUUCUGGAGGGAGCGGUGGGGAAAUUGGACAUGGGCGGAAGUCGAUCCAGCCUGUGCGUGUUUGGAGAGGGGKUCUGGGUUGUUAAGCCUUUUGUUUCGGAAAGAG
This 314-nucleotide ribosomal RNA is filed under the name Burkholderia sp. RNAcentral's name for it is "bacterial SSU rRNA". It matches the Rfam family "Bacterial small subunit ribosomal RNA", at positions 117 to 449 of the family's 1533-position model. Lineage: Bacteria; Pseudomonadati; Pseudomonadota; Betaproteobacteria; Burkholderiales; Burkholderiaceae. The record is from RNAcentral.